This 408-nucleotide unclassified non-coding RNA is filed under the name Hevea brasiliensis (rubber tree). Lineage: Eukaryota; Viridiplantae; Streptophyta; Magnoliopsida; Malpighiales; Euphorbiaceae. The record is from RNAcentral.
GUACAGAUUAAUUGAAAUCAAGGAAAAUCAUCUCUUUCUACAACAAUGCUGACUAACAAAAUUACAAGAACUCUAGUUUAUUUGAUAAAAAAGCACUUCUUAUUUGAUAUGCUUGCUUAUGCAAAUCAACCUGGAAAAAACAUAUGACAAUCAUUGAAAAGGAGUUGCCGAGAAAUGAAAAGUUGAGCUAUCCUACAGAGAUUUACUUUAGAAGUAAGAUGAGUUUCUUCAAAAUAUGCAAUCUUCAGGCAAGCAAGCAAGCCUUGCAAGAGUCCUAAAGAAUUAAGAUCUAUUUGUGGGGAACAAUUUUCUGUUUUCCAUUAAGUUUUCAUUGUUUAUGGAAAACAAGGGAAAACAAAGAAAACCUAUUAAAAGAAAACAAUUUUCUAAUCCAAGAAAAUAAAAAAU